GAAAUAGAAGAUAAUGUGAUUGCCGAUUUAGGUAUUGCAUAUUAAAAGUUUUUAUUAGUGAUAUGUUUUUUAUUAUUAGUGAUGUGAUUGUGGAUUUAGGUAUUGCAUUAUUAAAGUUUUUUUAUUAAUGACUUUCACAACAACAACAAAAUUUGACCUUGUUUUUUUAUAUCUAGCAGGUAUUGGAUUCAAAUUUCUCCAUUGUUUGAUUUGAUAAAAAAAAUGGAAUGGAAGGUUUCGGAAAGAUAGAAUUAUGCAUCGACUCAUAUACCAUUCGUGGUGAUAUCUGAUGGAGUUGGAGUGAUAUCUUAUAGUGUCUUCCCGUCAGCAACGCCAGAUAGUUAGAAGUACCUACUAUAUUGUGGUGAUAUCUGAUGGAGUUGGAGUGGUAUCUUAUGGUAUCUUCCCGUCAACAACGCCAGAUAGUUAGAGGUACAUACUACAUCGUGGUGAUAUAUGAUGGAGUUGGAGUGGCAUCUUAUGGUAUCUUCCCGUCAACAACGCCAGAUAGUUAGAGGUACAUACUACAUCGUGGUGAUAUAUGAUGGAGUUGGAGUGGCAUCUUAUGGUAUCUUCCCGUCAACAACGCCAGAUAGUUAGAGGUACAUACUACAUCGUGGUGAUAUCUGAUGGAGUUGGAGUGGUAUCUUAUGGUAUCUUCCCGUCAACAACGCCAGAUAGUUAGAGGUACAUACUACAUCGUGGUGAUAUCUGAUGGAGUUGGAGUGGUAUCUUAUGGUAUCUUCCCGUCAACAACGCCAGAUAGUUAGAGGUACAUACUACAUCGUGGUUAUAUUUGAUGGAGUUUGAGCGGUAUCUUAUGAUAUCUUCCCGUCAGCAACCCCAGAUAGUUAGAUGCAUGGACUACACCGUGGUAAUAUCUGAUGGAGUUGGAGUGGUACCUUAUGAUAUCUUCCUGUCAACAACGCCAGAUAAUUAGAAGUACCCUACUAAAUUGUGGUAAUACCUGAUGAAGUUGGAGUAGUACCUUAUGAUAUCUUCCCAUCAACAACGUUACAUAGUUAGAGAUACAUACUACAUGGUGGUGAUUUCUGAUGGAGUUUGAGCAAUAUCUUAUUAUAUCUUCCCAUCAGCAACGCCAGAUAGUUACAUAUACCUACUACAUCUUUGUGAUAUCUCAUAGAAUUGGAGCCGCAUUUUAUAAUAUCAUCCCGUCAACAAUGCAAUAAGAAGUACCCUACUACAUUAUGAUGAUAUCUCAUAAAAUUGAAGCGAUAUCUUAUAAUAACAUAAUAAUAUUUUAUAAUAUCUCCCCAUCAAGCACACCUAUAUAGCAAAAGAUAUCUACUACCCCAUCCUCUAAAACAUAUUUAAUUUUCUUACUUCCAUAUCAUUUUUUUUUAUUUUCCUAGAUUCAUAAAAAAUAUUGAUAUUUUAUGAAUAAUUGGUUUGAAUUUCCAUCAUUCAAAUGAUACUACAUUGAUCAUGAGAUUCAAUAUAUAUGAGUGGUUAGAGGUUAUGGGUUAUGAGCGUCUAAAUUCUAUGUAAAUCAACAAUUAGAAGAUCAAUUUCAAAUUAGCUUGGCUCAGAUGAAUCUUCUCAUGAUCAUUGUCUUCCCGUUGGAUGCCAUUUCAUUUUCAGUCUUUAUUCUGGAGCUGUUGAUUUUGCACUCCAGCAGAGUUAUUGUACUAUGAUUUCCUUCAGGAAUUAUGCACAACUUCAAUAAAUUAUAUGUACGAAUUGAGGGUUAUAUCAAAAUUAAAAACGGAAAUAUUUCGAUAUUUAAAGAUUCGUAUAUCAUGAACCGUUUAAAUUAACUUUUUAUAUUAUUCAUCAACAAACCUUAUGCUUGUUUUCUAUGAAAAAAUUGUCACACUAGUGCCUUUAGAUGGAUGUAUAUGGUAAUAGUCUUCCAAACUAAUGGUAUAAGUGUACAAGUAAAAGCGAACCAUAUUGAGAAUGGUAG
Molecule: long non-coding RNA, 1927 nt
Filed under: Linum usitatissimum (flax)
Lineage: Eukaryota; Viridiplantae; Streptophyta; Magnoliopsida; Malpighiales; Linaceae
Description: long non-coding RNA (LUSI_LNC007511)
Source: RNAcentral